RNAcentral lists this non-coding RNA (23 nucleotides) under Drosophila melanogaster (fruit fly). The record is from RNAcentral. Lineage: Eukaryota; Metazoa; Arthropoda; Insecta; Diptera; Drosophilidae.
AAGAGUUUUUUGAAUGCCUGAAG